RNAcentral lists this ribosomal RNA (832 nucleotides) under uncultured bacterium. RNAcentral's name for it is "bacterial SSU rRNA". It matches the Rfam family "Bacterial small subunit ribosomal RNA", at positions 8 to 835 of the family's 1533-position model. The record is from RNAcentral.
AGAGUUUGAUCCUGGCUCAGGACGAACGCUGGCGGCGUGCCUAACACAUGCAAGUCGAGCGAAGUGUUUAGGACUGAUCCCUUCGGGGUGACGUCUUAAACAUCUUAGCGGCGGACGGGUGAGUAACGCGUGAGAAACCUGCCUUUCACAAAGGGAUAGCCUCGGGAAACUGGGAUUAAUACCUUAUGAUACUUAUGAUCCACAUGGAUUUUAAGUUAAAGCGUAAAGCGGUGAAAGAUGGUCUCGCGUCCCAUUAGUUAGUUGGUGAGGUAACGGCUCACCAAGACAACGAUGGGUAGCCGGCCUGAGAGGGUGAUCGGCCACACUGGAACUGAGACACGGUCCAGACUCCUACGGGAGGCAGCAGUGGGGAAUAUUGCACAAUGGAGGAAACUCUGAUGCAGCGACGUCGCGUGAACGAUGAAGGCUUUCGAGUCGUAAAGUUCUGUCCUAGGGGACGAUAAUGACGGUACCCUAGGAGGAAGCCCCGGCUAACUACGUGCCAGCAGCCGCGGUAAUACGUAGGGGGCAAGCAUUGUCCGGAUUUAUUGGGCGUAAAGGGUACGCAGGCGGCCUUUUAAGUCAGAUGUGAAAUCUUACGGCCCAACCGUAAUUAGCAUUUGAAACUGGAAGGCUUGAGUUAAAGAGAGGAAAGUGGAAUUCCUAGUGUAGCGGUGAAAUGCGUAGAUAUUAGGAGGAAUACCCGUGGCGAAGGCUACUUUCUGGACUUAUACUGACGCUGAGGUACAAAAGCGUGGGAAGCAAAACAGAAUAAAUUACCCUGGUAAUUCCCCCCCGUAAACGAAGAAGUGCUAGGGUGUCGGGGGGUCAA